Molecule: long non-coding RNA, 1201 nt
Organism: Nicotiana tabacum (common tobacco)
Lineage: Eukaryota; Viridiplantae; Streptophyta; Magnoliopsida; Solanales; Solanaceae
Source: RefSeq, a predicted model, not a curated record
CCGUAUUUCCCCCCUUACAUCAAAUAUUAGUCCAAAACCCUUAUUUCCUUUUCCCCCAAAUUCACAGAGGUCUCUUUUCCCCUUCACCUUCAACCAUCGACUCUUUUUCCCCUUCACCUUCAACCAUCGAUUCUUCAAUACCUGGUCCAUCGACAUCCUCAAUAAGUUUCACUACAAGCUAUUCGACUCCCUCAUUCUUUUCAGCUUUGGUUUGCUCCAUUCCCAGUUAGGCUUUGCUCGAAAAAGUAGUUUGUUGAAGUGAAUAGCAUCAUCCCUUCUUAAUUUUUCCCUGCCCUUUCUAUUGGAUCCUUCAACUAAAGCUCAAAAAUCUUCAAGGAUAUAUGGGAUAGCUGGAAUGCACAUUGGUCCUCCGAGAAGUGGCUUGACAAAUCUCGUACUGCUGCUCAGAACCGGUGCAGCGAGACUGGUGGUCCGGGUACUGGUCCUAGCAAGCAUACCGGUGGUUCUAGGUCUACAGUGGAGCAUACUAGAGACUUGUAAAACUAUGUCGUUCACCAAAUUCGUGGGAUAUAUUCAAGAAGCUACAUCAAAGAAAGGAUGGCAACUUUGUUGAUGCUAAAUCUACUAGCGUUCAAGAAAAAAUGGAGAUUGUGGUGGCUGAUGCUAAUUCAAACCUGUCAGAUGAUACAGAAGAAGUCGAUGUGAAUAGCCUGUACUUUGAGGUUGUGGGUGGAGAAAAGAAACGGCGUGUGUAUGGUUUAGGAUCUCAAUCUUUGACUUUGUAUCCAGACUCCAACUCUACCACUUCACGCACUUUUCAUCCGAUACCGGAUGCUGCUGAAGAACGCAUUAAAGUUCUUGUGGUGGAGGUGUUGCGUAUGAGAGAAACUCAAGAGAGGAUUCUUCAACAACGGUUAGAGGAAGAGAUGCAGCAACACAUCGAGCAAGAGGUGCAGCAACGAGUCGAGCAAGAGGUGCAGCAACGCGUCGAGCAAGAGGUUGCACUUUUGAGGCAACAAAGUGACGAUCGAUUUCGUUCUAUAGAGGAGCAUGAAGAGCGAGAUGGCAUUAUCAUCUCGCCCAUUUGUUGGUCUUAGUUGAUGCUUAACUGUUGAAUAUUAUAAAACUUUUGUUAACCGAUUUAAGUGUAAUGUUGCUAACUUUUGUUAGCUGAAUAUAUGAAGUUUUCAUAUUUAACUUCAAACUUUUGGAUAAUAUAUUUAACGUUAUGUUUGUUAUA